CCUACGGGUGGCAGCAGUAGGGAAUAUUGCUCAAUGGUGGAGACCCUGAAGCAGCAACGCCGCGUGGAGGAUGAAGGUUUUCGGAUUGGAAACUCCUUUUUUUAGAGAAGAUAAUGACGGUAUCUAACGAAUAAGCACCGUCUAACUCCGUGCCAGCAGCCGCGGUAAUACGGAGGGUGCAAGCGUUACUCGGAAUCACUGGGCGUAAAGAGGGCGUAGGCGGGAUAGCAAGUCAGAUGUGAAAACCUAUGGCUUAACCAUAGAACUGCAUGUGAAACUGUUAUUCUAGAGUAUGGGAGAGGUAGGUGGAAUUCUUGGUGUAGGGGUAAAAUCCGUAGAGAUCAAGAGGAAUACUCAUUGCGAAGGCGACCUGCUAGAACAUAACUGACGCUGAUGCGCGAAAGCGUGGGGAGCAAACAGGAUUAGAUACCCCAGUAGUC
This 440-nucleotide ribosomal RNA is filed under the name uncultured bacterium. RNAcentral describes it as "partial 16S ribosomal RNA". It matches the Rfam family "Bacterial small subunit ribosomal RNA", at positions 338 to 795 of the family's 1533-position model. The record is from RNAcentral.